UACGGAGGGUGCAAGCGUUAUCCGGAUUCACUGGGUUUAAAGGGUGCGUAGGAGGGCAGGUAAGUCAGUGGUGAAAUCCUAGAGCUUAACUCUAGAACUGCCGUUGAUACUAUCUGUCUUGAAUAUUGUGGAGGUGAGCGGAAUAUGUCAUGUAGCGGUGAAAUGCUUAGAUAUGACAUAGAACACCAAUUGCGAAGGCAGCUUACUACGGGAAUAUUGACACUGAGGCACGAAAGCGUGGGGAUCAAACAGG
Molecule: ribosomal RNA, 253 nt
Filed under: uncultured bacterium
Lineage: Bacteria
Description: partial 16S ribosomal RNA
Rfam family: Bacterial small subunit ribosomal RNA
Source: RNAcentral